RNAcentral lists this ribosomal RNA (1212 nucleotides) under Gillisia sp. Hel_I_86. Its description in RNAcentral is "bacterial SSU rRNA". It matches the Rfam family "Bacterial small subunit ribosomal RNA", at positions 122 to 1339 of the family's 1533-position model. The record is from RNAcentral. Lineage: Bacteria; Pseudomonadati; Bacteroidota; Flavobacteriia; Flavobacteriales; Flavobacteriaceae.
CAAUCUACCUUGUAGAGGGGAAUAGCCCAGAGAAAUUUGGAUUAAUGCCCCAUGGUAUUAUAGGACAGCAUUGUUUUAUAAUUAAACAUUCAUGGCUACAAGAUGAGUAUGCGUUCUAUUAGUUGGUAGGUAAGGUAACGGCUUACCUAGACUUCGAUAGAUAGGGGUCCUGAGAGGGAGAUCCCCCACACUGGUACUGAGACACGGACCAGACUCCUACGGGAGGCAGCAGUGAGGAAUAUUGGACAAUGGGCGGGAGCCUGAUCCAGCCAUGCCGCGUGCAGGAAGACGGCCCUAUGGGUUGUAAACUGCUUUUAUAGAGGAAGAAACACCCCUACGUGUGGGGGCUUGACGGUACUCUACGAAUAAGGAUCGGCUAACUCCGUGCCAGCAGCCGCGGUAAUACGGAGGAUCCAAGCGUUAUCCGGAAUCAUUGGGUUUAAAGGGUCCGUAGGCGGGACGAUCAGUCAGCGGUGAAAGUCUGUGGCUCAACCAUAGAAUUGCCAUUGAUACUGUUGUUCUUGAAUACUUAUGAAGUGGUUGGAAUAUGUAGUGUAGCGGUGAAAUGCAUAGAUAUUACAUAGAACACCGAUUGCGAAGGCAGAUCACUAAUAAGUCAUUGACGCUGAUGGACGAAAGCGUGGGUAGCGAACAGGAUUAGAUACCCUGGUAGUCCACGCCGUAAACGAUGGUUACUAGCUGUUCGGGAGCAAUCCUGAGUGGCUAAGCGAAAGUGAUAAGUAACCCACCUGGGGAGUACGUUCGCAAGAAUGAAACUCAAAGGAAUUGACGGGGGCCCGCACAAGCGGUGGAGCAUGUGGUUUAAUUCGAUGAUACGCGAGGAACCUUACCAGGGCUUAAAUGUAGGUUGACAGGGGUGGAAACACCUUUUCCUUCGGGCAAUUUACAAGGUGCUGCAUGGUUGUCGUCAGCUCGUGCCGUGAGGUGUCAGGUUAAGUCCUAUAACGAGCGCAACCCCUGUUGUUAGUUGCCAGCGAGUCAAGUCGGGAACUCUAACAAGACUGCCAGUGCAAACUGUGAGGAAGGUGGGGAUGACGUCAAAUCAUCACGGCCCUUACGUCCUGGGCCACACACGUGCUACAAUGGUAGGGACAGAGAGCAGCCACUUCGCGAGAAGGAGCGAAUCUACAAACCCUAUCACAGUUCGGAUCGGAGUCUGCAACUCGACUCCGUGAAGCUGGAAUCGCUAGU